ACGGAGGGGGCUAGCGUUGUUCGGAAUUACUGGGCGUAAAGCGCACGUAGGCGGCUUUGUAAGUUAGAGGUGAAAGCCCGGAGCUCAACUCCGGAAUUGCCUUUAAGACUGCAUCGCUCGAAUCAUGGAGAGGUGAGUGGAAUUCCGAGUGUAGAGGUGAAAUUCGUAGAUAUUCGGAAGAACACCAGUGGCGAAGGCGGCCAUCUGGACGGACACUGACGCUGAGGCGCGAAAGCGUGGGGAGCAAACAGGA
This 253-nucleotide ribosomal RNA is filed under the name uncultured prokaryote. RNAcentral describes it as "partial 16S ribosomal RNA". It matches the Rfam family "Bacterial small subunit ribosomal RNA", at positions 525 to 777 of the family's 1533-position model. The record is from RNAcentral.